GCGGACGUGGCGGAAUGGUAGACGCUGCGGACUUAAAAUCCGCUUGCCCUAGGCAGUGCGGGUUCGAGUCCCGCCGUCCGCACCA
This 85-nucleotide transfer RNA is filed under the name Novosphingopyxis baekryungensis. RNAcentral describes it as "tRNA-Leu". It matches the Rfam family "tRNA". From Rfam's summary of the family: Transfer RNA (tRNA) molecules are approximately 80 nucleotides in length. Their secondary structure includes four short double-helical elements and three loops (D, anti-codon, and T loops). The record is from RNAcentral. Lineage: Bacteria; Pseudomonadati; Pseudomonadota; Alphaproteobacteria; Sphingomonadales; Sphingorhabdaceae.